Molecule: long non-coding RNA, 150 nt
Organism: Hibiscus syriacus
Lineage: Eukaryota; Viridiplantae; Streptophyta; Magnoliopsida; Malvales; Malvaceae
Exons: 3
Source: RefSeq, a predicted model, not a curated record
UUAUGAAUAUUUAUUAAGAUGUGAAAUAAUGCACACAACAACACAAGAAGAAUCAAGCAAAUAAAAAUUGCUCUGAGAAACAAUUUAGAAUUUGUUUCCUUAGCCAUGUACUACCACCAGCUAGAUGGUAAUUCACCCUAUGGAUGGAAU